CCGAGUUUACAACUCCCAAACCCCUGUGAACCAUACCAUAUCGUUGCCUCGGCGGCUGCCCUCGCUCUCGUGGGAGCCGCCAGAGGACCCAAAACUCUUGCUUUCGUAUCUAGGAUUUUAUUCUGAGUGUUGCUGCAUACAAAAUAAAUCA
This 151-nucleotide unclassified non-coding RNA is filed under the name soil metagenome. RNAcentral's name for it is "partial internal transcribed spacer 1". The record is from RNAcentral.